GUGAGAAUAGCUGCAGGGGUACACCUAGUUCCAUUCCGAACCUAGAAGUUAAGCCUGUAAACGCUGAAAGUACUUGGAGGGAAGCCUCCUGGGAGGAUAAGAACUUGCCAAGC
RNAcentral lists this ribosomal RNA (113 nucleotides) under Fusobacterium sp. Lineage: Bacteria; Fusobacteriati; Fusobacteriota; Fusobacteriia; Fusobacteriales; Fusobacteriaceae. The record is from RNAcentral.